RNAcentral lists this ribosomal RNA (58 nucleotides) under Houlletia tigrina. RNAcentral's name for it is "partial 26S ribosomal RNA". The record is from RNAcentral. Lineage: Eukaryota; Viridiplantae; Streptophyta; Magnoliopsida; Asparagales; Orchidaceae. RNAcentral also lists the same sequence under 2 other names.
GCGACCCCAGGAUGGGCGAGGCCACCCGCCGAGUUUAAGCAUAUCAAUAAGCGGAGGA